Sander lucioperca (pikeperch) is the source of this 119-nucleotide long non-coding RNA. RefSeq lists it as uncharacterized. The record is from RefSeq and is a predicted model, not a curated record. The transcript has 4 exons. NCBI's taxonomy places the organism in Eukaryota, Metazoa, Chordata, Actinopteri, Perciformes, Percidae.
ACACACACACACACACACACACACACAGUGAACAGUCAGUUUGAUGAAGUCAUGACUGUUAGUUUGGUUUCAUUCCUCACCGAGCCAGUACUCUCCAGCAGCGAUACCAAAGCCGGUCU